UGACGCAGCAACGCCGCGUGCGGGAUGAAGGCCUUCGGGUUGUAAACCUCUUUCGUCCGGGACGAUAAUGACGGGACCCGGGGAAGAAGCCCCGGCUAACUUCGUGCCCGCCGCCCCGGUAA
Molecule: ribosomal RNA, 122 nt
Filed under: uncultured bacterium
Lineage: Bacteria
Description: partial 16S ribosomal RNA
Rfam family: Bacterial small subunit ribosomal RNA
Source: RNAcentral